CCAUCCACCCAUCCAUCCAACCCACUGCAACCCCUCCCUGAUCCAGAUCCUACCUUAGCCUCCUCUUCUCUCCCCGAUCUAGAUCCAACCGACCUCUCCCCCUCCCCGCUGCCUCCCAUCCACACGCCGCAUCGCCAAAGCCCUCCUCCAAAUCCCUCAACACGCUGGACAAUGUGCUGCCGGCCCCAAGAAGGCCGCCAAGCUGCUCUCCAUGGUGCCCGCCGUCGCCGUCGCCCGCUCCCCCAAAGCCCGCAUCGCCGGCUUCGUCACCAGAUUCCUGUAGCACCCCACCAGUCGUCGCCUUGCCCGAAGAGCUCACACGCCCCCCCUCCGCUCCCGGCAUCGUCGUCCCUAUAGAGAAGUGGAUCCUCCCGCCGCAACAUCCCGCCCGAUUCCGGUGUCCUUCGGCGGCGCCCAACACACCACCGUGACCCCCUCCCCGCCAUCUUCCUCCCUUGCACAAGCCGCUUGAAUCCUCCCACAGGUAUGUUGUCUAGUAGAUAAGUGAAUCGAUGGGCGUGGAUGUGUGUGUGUGUGUCUGUGUGUGUGUGUUUGUGUGUGUGUGUGACAUCGAGGUUUCCUGUAGGUCGGCAGUGGCUGGGCUGGAGACACUGCUUCCCCUGCACANNN
This 630-nucleotide long non-coding RNA is filed under the name Triticum aestivum (bread wheat). RNAcentral's name for it is "long non-coding RNA (TAES_LNC016669)". Lineage: Eukaryota; Viridiplantae; Streptophyta; Magnoliopsida; Poales; Poaceae. The record is from RNAcentral.